CCUACGGGAGGCUGCAGUGGGGAAUAUUGGACAAUGGGGGCAACCCUGAUCCAGCCAUGCCGCGUGUGUGAAGAAGGCCCUCGGGUUGUAAAGCACUUUCAGUGAGGAAGAACGCCUGGUGGUUAAUACCCAUCAGGAAAGACAUCACUCACAGAAGAAGCACCGGCUAACUCCGUGCCAGCAGCCGCGGUAAUACGGAGGGUGCGAGCGUUAAUCAGAAUUACUGGGCGUAAAGCGCGCGUAGGUGGCUUGAUAAGCCGGUUGUGAAAGCCCCGGGCUCAACCUGGGAACGGCAUCCGGAACUGUCAAGCUAGAGUGCAGGAGAGGAAGGUAGAAUUCCCGGUGUAGCGGUGAAAUGCGUAGAGAUCGGGAGGAAUACCAGUGGCGAAGGCGGCCUUCUGGACUGACACUGACACUGAGGUGCGAAAGCGUGGGUAGCAAACAGGAUUAGAUACCCUUGUAGUC
RNAcentral lists this ribosomal RNA (465 nucleotides) under Vreelandella stevensii. RNAcentral's name for it is "partial 16S ribosomal RNA". It matches the Rfam family "Bacterial small subunit ribosomal RNA", at positions 338 to 795 of the family's 1533-position model. The record is from RNAcentral. Lineage: Bacteria; Pseudomonadati; Pseudomonadota; Gammaproteobacteria; Oceanospirillales; Halomonadaceae.